This 66-nucleotide non-coding RNA is filed under the name unclassified sequences. Its description in RNAcentral is "L2-Alphaproteobacteria ribosomal protein leader". It matches the Rfam family "L2-Alphaproteobacteria ribosomal protein leader". The record is from RNAcentral.
GGCCACCUUCGGGGGGCUACAACAGACAGGCGGGGCAACCCGCCGCAAAGCAACGGAAGACAGAAA